AUCAGUUAUCAGCAAGAGCUGGGACAGGAAAACAGAGAGAGAGAGAGAGAGAGAGAGAGAGAGAGAGAGCAAAAAUGAAUAACAUAACGGCAAGCGAGCUGGCGGGUUUUGGAGUUGGGGCUCUGCUCCUCUGUGCCACCAUUGCUGCCCCAAAGGUCGACGCUUUCAUCUCUGCCUCUCAGCGCAGGUAAGUACCCAUUUCCAAAAUUCAUCACAAAAGGCUUGUCUUUGACUCUUUCUAAUGUUUGAGUUCAUUUCAGCUCCAUUAUCUUCAUCAAGUUGUAAUUAGUUUCAAAGAAUUGGAUAAAUAUCCUUGUAAUGAAAUUUUUUCAUGUGGGUUAAAAAUCAAUUUCAAUUCAAUAAAACUCCAUUUUCAGUUUCUACUUGCUUGUGGGAUUUGUGUAUUAUGUAUUUGUGCAUUCUGAUUUAUGUGUGCUGUAUAUGAAUGAAUCCUUUGAAUAUUCAGUUCUUUGGGAAUGUGCAAGAGAUGUGGCAAUCUGAGGAUGAUAGCAUGCUCAAGAUGCAAAGGAGUUGGAUUAAUCAAAGAAGGUGGUGUGUUUGGUUUAAAUCUCAUUGAUGACUUCUAUGAAUCGGUUGGGGGUAGUGAUUCGAAAGUAAGAUCCAUUUCUUGCACCAACUGUAACGCUAGAGGUCAUUUUAGCUGCCCUGAUUGCUCUAAAACAUCUGUUUGAGUUUGUUUAAGUCAUCUAAAUUAAAAUUUUCUUACGCUAGUUGUGCUAUCUUAAAAUGAUUUAUCAAUGUCCAAUGAUAUAGAGCAAGGAAGUUUAUGAACCCACUUUAGACAGUAGAGACAUAUACAUUACAAAAUCGUUUUUAUGUUGAUAUCACAGAUAAUGUCAAUUCUAGAGACUGCAUAUUUAUUACCCUGCUCCCUAGCA
This 899-nucleotide long non-coding RNA is filed under the name Prunus dulcis (almond). RNAcentral describes it as "sRNA ncRNA". Lineage: Eukaryota; Viridiplantae; Streptophyta; Magnoliopsida; Rosales; Rosaceae. The record is from RNAcentral.